This 2923-nucleotide long non-coding RNA is filed under the name Homo sapiens (human). Its description in RNAcentral is "HSALNT0031281". Lineage: Eukaryota; Metazoa; Chordata; Mammalia; Primates; Hominidae. The record is from RNAcentral.
GUGAGCCACUGCACCAGGCCAGGGGUAAACCCAGUUCACUCAGGCAGAAGCAAGAGGAAGAACAUUCCUCCAGCUCCUCCUCAUGCAGGCCCGAGAGGUGGGAGGGCAUUCUGCCAGCCCAGUAUAUCCACUUUGCUUCGACAAAUGUCAGCCUGCCCAGAAUAAGGAAGUACCCACAGCCGGGAAAGGUAAAUCCAAACCCUGAAAAGACAGAUACUGAGCAUUUGAAAUAACACAGCUUGCAGCGUCCUUGCGGAGCCCUGUUUAUGGGGCAAUAAACCAUUUAAACGACUGUGUGUUGGAACCCACAAGGUCGCCUUGAAAGGCUUUUCACAGACACUGCUAGUAGGGCUCCAGGACGUCUGGAGGGCCAGGAUGGGGUGUCUUUUUGGCUUCUGCUUGAAGCUGCUGGUUCCCCUCCAUCAGGAACGCCAGCCCCUGGAGAGGCUGCCAUGAGGUCUCUCUCCAGAAGAUGAGGAAGGAAUUUGUCUCAGUCCACUUCCACACCUGUCCACCUGAGCUGGGCGUUAGCCUGAGCCUUUGCCUCUGUAUGGAUCCCUGACUUUGAGUUUUAUGCAAUUUCUUGUAUAAAAGGAGAGCCUGAGUCCAUGGAAGUUGGGAUUGAACAUCCUGAAUAUGCAGUUCCUUGGAGAGCCACCAAGAAAAGACCUAAGCAAGAGACAUGAUGUCACCUUCGGGGAGGAGGCUCUUCAAGCUGUUUGGCAUGAGAAGAGGAGGAAUGAGGAGGAUCACUGGCCUUGAACCCCCAAAGAGAGGCUAGAGCACCUUUCUAGGACCCAGUCCAGGGUUUGUCUUGAACAUCCAGCUCCAAAAGAGAUGCUGUGCAGAUUCAAGCUGCCAAGUCCUGAAGGACCUGAGGGAAAACCCAACCCCAAGCAGCCCAGAUGGUAUCUGAGUAUCCUGUGCCCUACCCACGAAGAUCAGGAGCCUAAAGGCUAGAGCUCACUGCAGAACCAGACCAAAGACAGUUUAAGGGCCAUUGAGCCAAGCCUUCCUGACCUCCCAUGGAGAGGGGAAGAGAGAACAGGACCUCCACUUAUCCACCUACCCGCUGCUGAGUCCCUUUAGCCCUUGGCAUGGUAAUUAACGGUCAGGAAGUUAUGCAUCAGCCUCAGCAAGCUAACAUGGCAGGAGAUCCCUCCUGACAGCAGAGCUAAUAAGAAAUUUGCUAAUGCAAUUUAUCACUUUAAAAAGCCAUAUGUCGGUGGGGAUGAGCACUUCUCUGCAGCAGCUAGUGUAAUUGUCAGAACAGAGCAGCGAGCAGCUCUGAGAAGGGGGUGAGGAUGAUGUCUUCACUAAAUCAGUGGUGCAAUGCAGCAGGCGAGGGGGCUGGGAGGAGGGGUGUGGUGCUGGGUGGAGGGCUCCCAGCUCUCAAACUCCCAGGAAGCCAGUGCUGCAGACCUGUUCUGGGGCCCCAUUAAAAACCAGAUUCCCUGAACUCCAGCCCCUGCUGCCUUUGAGCUGCAUGAACCUGCGCUUUGGUUCCUGCCACAGUGUUAAAAAAGAAGCGACUCUGUCUGCAGUAAUGGCUGAUCUAAGUCUCAGCCAUUGAGUGUCAACACACAGGACCCCACUCCAGCUCCUCCUGGGGGCAGGGCUGAUGCCAUGUGCACAUUUGGUCUUUCUCUCCCAGACCCCUGCGAUAACUUCAUCCAGGACAAGGGCCACUGGUCCUUAGUCAGAGGCAGGGAAAGAUUAGAAAUCCACCUCAGGCCCAACAACAUCUCUGCUUUCAGUUUAGACAAAAGGCAAAUUGCUUUGAGUACCCAGUGUUUGCCAAAAUAAAGAGUGGUUUCUGCAAAGGGGAAAAACUGCUGUUGUGGGAUUUUGCUUCAAACACUCAAUUGCAAACCAUUUUUCCCAAAGCAAAUUGAUAGAGAAGCAAGUAAAACAGGUGCCCCUUCUGGGAAUGAAGUCCAGGGCUGCUGGGAAGGCUGUGGGAAGGAAUAAGAAUAUCCACACGGCUGGAUCUCCACUGCUUUCUGGAAUAGUCCCCACUCUCAGUUAUCUGUGGAAUGAGAGGGGCUGGGGAGAGGGAUGAGGUAGGGCAAGCCACCACCACCAACACCCAGAGAAACAUCACACUCAGUUUCCACCAACUAAACUUCCCUCUAAAGCAAAUUUUGACCCUAAUUGUUCUCUGUCCUUUAAAUUAAUGCUUUUUUUUUUUAAGACGGAGUUUCACUCCUGUUGCCCAAGCUAGAGUGCAGUGGCAUGAUCUCGGCUCACUGCAACCUCUGCCUCCUGGGUUCAAGUGAUUCUCCUGCUUUAGCCUCCCAAGUAGCUGGGAUUACAGGUGCCCACCACCACACCCAGCUAAUUUUUUGUAUUUUUAGUAGAGAGGGGGUUUCACCAUCUUGGCCAGGCUGGUCUCGAUCUCCUGACCUCAGGUAAUCCACCUGCCUUGGCCUCCCAAAAUGCUGGGAUUACAGGUGUGAGCCACCACGCCCAGCCUAAAUUAAUGCUUUGAAUUUUGCAUGGAGACACUGAAGGAAGACAAAGUACAAGGACCCAAGUAAUAACCAAUAGAAAGAAGAAAUCCCAUGCCAGGGGCCUGGACAGCCCAAGACGUGUAUAUAAGCUCCACGUUGCCUUCCUGUUUAAGACCUUCUGCUCAGCUCAUACUGAUGGAAAUGGCAUGGGUGGGCAUGGGGGAAGUAUAGCCUCAUGACUCUCCAGCCUUCAGGGUGAUGGGAGAGGACUGGCAACAGGAACCGGUAUGAUUUUUUAAGUGAGUCUUACCUUGCUGGAGCAGAGUUUUAUGGCAACCCCCAAAGACCCCUGUGAAUUGAGGCCCACCUAGGGUCCCAGGAACCCCUUUAUGUGCCCUUUAAAAUAUGCUUUAAUAUCUAAGGUUCUAUCAUUUAAUAUUUAUUUAUUUUUAAAUUUCCCUGAUCCUCCU